This 468-nucleotide ribosomal RNA is filed under the name uncultured bacterium. Its description in RNAcentral is "partial 16S ribosomal RNA". It matches the Rfam family "Bacterial small subunit ribosomal RNA", at positions 28 to 507 of the family's 1533-position model. The record is from RNAcentral.
GACGAACGCUGGCGGCGUGCUUAACACAUGCAAGUCGAACGGAAAGGCCCUGCUUUUGUGGGGUGCUCGAGUGGCGAACGGGUGAGUAACACGUGAGUAACCUGCCCUUGACUUUGGGAUAACUUCAGGAAACUGGGGCUAAUACCGGAUAGGAGCUCCUGCUGCAUGGUGGGGGUUGGAAAGUUUCGGCGGUUGGGGAUGGACUCGCGGCUUAUCAGCUUGUUGGUGGGGUAGUGGCUUACCAAGGCUUUGACGGGUAGCCGGCCUGAGAGGGUGACCGGCCACAUUGGGACUGAGAUACGGCCCAGACUCCUACGGGAGGCAGCAGGGGGGAAUAUUGCACAAGGGGGGGAAGCCUGAGGCAGCAACGCCGCGUGGGGGAGGACGGCUUUCGGGUUGUAACCCGCUUUCGCCUGUGACGAAGGGGGAGUGACGGUAAGGGGUAAAGAAGCACCGGCUAACUACGUG